RNAcentral lists this ribosomal RNA (458 nucleotides) under uncultured bacterium. Its description in RNAcentral is "partial 16S ribosomal RNA". It matches the Rfam family "Bacterial small subunit ribosomal RNA", at positions 338 to 795 of the family's 1533-position model. The record is from RNAcentral.
UCUACGGGAGGCAGCAGUGAGGAAUAUUGGUCAAUGGCCGGAAGGCUGAACCAGCCAUGCCGCGUGAAGGUCAGUGCCCCAUGGGCGUUAAAAUUCUUUUGUGCGGGAGCAAUAAUGGUCACGUGUGGCCAGACGAGAGUACCGUACGAAAAAGCAUCGGCUAACUCCGUGCCAGCAGCCGCGGUAAUACGGAGGAUGAGAUCGUUAUCCGGAUUUAUUGGGUUUAAAGGGUGCGCAGGCGGAAGAUGAAGUCAGCGGUAAAAUUGGGAGAUUCACCCACGUCGAGCCGUUGAUACUGGUUUUCGUGAGUGAGUGAGAAGUAUGCGGAAUGCGUGGUGUAGCGGUGAAAUGCAGAGAUAUCACGAAGAACUCCGAUUGCGAAGGCAGCAUACCGGCGCUCAACUGACGCUCAUGCACGAAAGUGUGGGUAUCGAACAGGAUUAGAUACCCUAGUAGUC